AGCUAUGGCAAGGUGGUUGAUCUGGCCCCACUCCAUUUGGAUGCAAGGAUUUCACUUUCUACCCUUCAGCAGCAGCUGGGCCAGCCUGAGAAAGCUCUGGAAGCUCUGGAACCAAUGUAUGAUCCAGAUACUUUAGCACAGGAUGCAAAUGCUGCACAGCAGGAACUGAAGUUAUUGCUUCAUCGUUCUACUCUGUUGUUUUCACAAGGCAAAAUGUAUGGUUAUGUGGAUACCUUACUUACUAUGUUAGCCAUGCUUUUAAAGCAAUAUUUGCUGUGCUCACAAGCGUCUUGACAAAGGAUGACUGGUGGAAUCUUCUGUUGAAGGCCAUAUACUCCUUAUGUGACCUAUCCCGAUUUCAAGAGGCUGAGUUGCUUGUAGAUUCCUCAUUGGAAUAUUACUCAUUUUAUG
This 411-nucleotide long non-coding RNA is filed under the name Homo sapiens (human). RNAcentral's name for it is "HSALNT0045460". The record is from RNAcentral. Lineage: Eukaryota; Metazoa; Chordata; Mammalia; Primates; Hominidae.